UUUAUUCAUGAGAGACACAGAGAGAGAGGCAGAGACACGGAAAGAGGGAGAAGCAGGCUCCCUGCAGGAGGGGGUAACGUGGGACUCGAUCCGGGAUCAUGACCUGAGCCUGAGCCAAAGGCAGAUGCUCAGCCGCUGAGCCACCCAGGUGUCCCAAGAGUAUUUUUUAAAACUUCAAUCAGAUGGUUUUCUAUAAGUGGAGGAGAAAGCAAGAUGGAAGAAACAUGGAUGAAAACUAAAUUUCCCUGAUUAUAUCUCCCAUGAUAGAUGGACUUCGAAACUAGGUAAAAAUUACAUAGUUAUGAAACAAACUAAAAACAAUAAAGGAAAUAAAAAGCAAAAUGCACCAAAUAAUACUAAACAAAUACCAAGUUGAGGGUUUAAUCACUAGAGUCGGAUUAUCUGAAGUUACUGUAAAACUUGGUAAUUUGUGUAGCUAGUGGGUUGGAGUCCCUAAAGAUAAAAGGGGGGCAAGUAAAAUUCAAAAUGUUUUCAGUUACCACUUUGUAAGCAAAAAUUGGAAUUGAUAUUUUGAUACAAAAACAGAGAUGCACAUUUACACACACAGGAAUGAUAAAGCAAGUAAGUGAUUUAAUUAUAUUGACGUGAUAUUCAGCACAAGAGAAAGAGAUACAGAUACCAAGUGAAAAACUUGAGCAAAAACCUUAUAAUCCUAGGGUGAAUUGGAAAUAUCAUGUAUUUUCUUUAAGAAAAAUGUUUCUUCCUAGCAUUGUCCACUGUAAAGUCCUAGAAACAAUGACCCACCCAGAAGCAACUAACACCUCUAGAACUUAGAUCUUGGUCUCAAUACUGUUUCUAUCAACAAAGAACCAGGACUACGUGGAUAAAUAGAGAAUUCCAGGCCAGGUAUGAGGCAGGAUAUGCAAAGUGAGUCUAUGACAUCUUGUCAUACUAGAAAUCUAGAAGGCUAUAAGUGGAUUUAAACCCAUCAUAUGUAUUUAAAAAGCUGUUAUUCCUGUAUGUUGACAAAUUGAACACCAAUAAAAAAUAAAUUUAUUUAAAAAAUAAUAAUAAAAUAAAAUAAAAAGCUGUUAGUCAAUGAUAUACUCAUAUAGGGGUGUGUGUGUGUGUGUGUGUGUGUACAUCUUUUGCAGGAUUCUACAAGAACUAUCAAAUUAUUUGAAAACAGGUAAAUAAUAAGAAUUAAGUGUUUAGCUCACUUCUGCACAAACCGUAUUUCAAAUAACAAAUAGUUGAUGAGGAAAAGCUUUUCUUUAUAGAAGCAUUCUAACUUCUAAAGAAAGAGGUAAUGGAAUGAUAAUGCUACUCCCUUGCAAUCCUUGAUGGCAACAGGCAAUUGUCAUCAACAGGCAGGUCUGCAAAGACCAUGAUGCAAUAAGUUAAUGGGGAGUUUUAUAAUAGAUGAAUCAAGCUUAGACUUAAAUUCACACAUAUGUGAAUUUGCAAAAAGAGCAACAACCGGUCAUUAUGAGCCUCCACAGAAAAAUCCACAUCAUCAGUAUUCUUGAAAAAUAAAAAUAAAAGCUGAGUUUGGUCAAGCCUCUAGAUCUGUCAAUUCACUCAAAAUACAGGGGACAGAAGAACAUGUUAACCAACACCAUGUAAUCAAAAAGUCCAAACUGUAAUAAAAAUCUACAAGACAAACAACGUGACUCAGUUAACAAUUCAACUUGAAUGAUAAAUUAAAACAAUUUAAGUGAUAAAUUAAAAACAGGAAACGAAGAUCUAUAAAUUCAAGAGAAUUAGAAGACUUAUCAACUCAACAUGACGGGAGGAUCUUUGGAUUCUGGAUCAAUCAAACUAAUUGUUCAUUAAAAAUGACACUACUGAUGCAAUUUUUAAAAAUUCUUAUUAAGUAUAAUUAACACGCAGUGUUAUAUUAGUUUCAGGUGUAAAAUGCAGUGAUUCAACAAUUCUAUGCAUUAUGCAGUGCUCAUCAUGAGGGUAUUCUUAAUCCCCUUCCCCUGUUUUCCCCACCCAACCACCUCCCUUCUGGUAACCAACAAUUUGUUCUCUGUAUUUAAAGGUCUGGUUUUUUAAAAAUCUUUUUCUCUUUGUUUAUUCAUUUGUUUUGUUUCUUAAAUUCCACGCAUGAGGGAAAUCAUACAGUGUUUGUCUUUCUCUUAGUUUAGCAUCAUACCAACUAGGUCUACCUACGUUGCUGCAAAUGGCAAAAAUCUCAUCCAUUUCUACGGCUGAGUCAUAUUCCACUCAUUCUUCUCCAUUCAUUCACCUAUGAAUGGACAUUGGGUAGUUUCCAUAUCUUGGCUAUUGUCAAUAAUGUCACAAUAAUAAACAUAGCGCUGCAUACAUCUUUUCAAAUUUGGUUUCCUUUGGGCAGCAAUCCAGUAGUGGAAUUACUGAAUCAUAUGGUAACUGUAUUUUUAAUUUUUUGAGAAGCAUCCAUACUGGUUUCCACAGUGGCUUCACCAAUUUGAAUUCCCACCAACAGUGAACAAAUGUUCCUUUUUCUUGAUGUCUUUGCCAUCACUUGUGAUUUCUUGUGUGUUUUUUUUAUUAUUAUUAUAGCCAUUUUGACAGGUGUAAGAUGAUAUCUCAUUGUGGUUUUGAUUUGCAUUUCCCUGAUGAUUAGUGAUGUUGAGCAUGUUUUCUUUCAUAUGUUGCCCAUUGUAUGCCUUCUUUAGAAAAAUGUCUAUUCAGAACUUCUGCCCAUUUUUAAAAUUAAAUUAUUUGGGUUUUUUUUUUUUUGAUGUUGAGUUGUACA
This 2707-nucleotide long non-coding RNA is filed under the name Canis lupus familiaris (dog). RNAcentral's name for it is "lncRNA (ENSCAFG00000058584.1)". Lineage: Eukaryota; Metazoa; Chordata; Mammalia; Carnivora; Canidae. The record is from RNAcentral.